UGAAGGAACUGGGAAANCUUGGUGGC
Molecule: non-coding RNA, 26 nt
Filed under: Mus musculus (house mouse)
Lineage: Eukaryota; Metazoa; Chordata; Mammalia; Rodentia; Muridae
Source: RNAcentral